This 72-nucleotide transfer RNA is filed under the name Cavia porcellus (domestic guinea pig). It matches the Rfam family "tRNA". Rfam says of the family: Transfer RNA (tRNA) molecules are approximately 80 nucleotides in length. Their secondary structure includes four short double-helical elements and three loops (D, anti-codon, and T loops). Further hydrogen bonds mediate the characteristic L-shaped molecular structure. tRNAs have two regions of fundamental functional importance: the anti-codon, which is responsible for specific mRNA codon recognition, and the 3' end, to which the tRNAs corresponding amino acid is attached (by aminoacyl-tRNA synthetases). tRNAs cope with the degeneracy of the genetic code in two manners: having more than one tRNA (with a specific anti-codon) for a particular amino acid; and 'wobble' base-pairing, i.e. permitting non-standard base-pairing at the 3rd anti-codon position. The record is from Rfam by way of RNAcentral. Lineage: Eukaryota; Metazoa; Chordata; Mammalia; Rodentia; Caviidae.
AGGGAUGUAGCUCAGUGGUAGAGUGCUUGUCUACUAUGUGUGAGGCCCUGGGUUUCAUCCCCAGCACCACAA